GGAGAAGCAGUUGUUACCCAACCAGCACCUGGUUCAGCCAACGAAACCACUGAUGAGAAACAGCAGGUGCAAAUGCUGGUGUAAAUAUCCCAAUCGUAAUUCAGCCGCAGCCAGAAUGACCAAAAUGUGAAUCAACUUAGUAGUCUUCAAGCCAAAUGUCUUCCGACAGAAGCGAUACAUGAAAACACAGGAUCUGAAAAUUCAUGUUAAGCAUACAUGUUUGAGCAGGAUUUUGAAAAUUAAUUUUAACAAAACAUGUACAUAUUGUAUAGUUCGUAUUUUUCUGAAGGAUCCUGACACAGCCAACACACUUGUAAAUUUGUAAUGUAUUAUACAAUCUACAUUUGUGUUAUUUCCAACUACAGAACAACUGAAACAUUCUUAUGGGAUAUAAUCUAUUUUAAACAAAAGGGUGAUGACUUUUUUUUUAAUUUCUGCAGACUUUUUUAAAAACAGGUAUAACAAUGUAAUAAGUCUUAUCGGACUGAAAUCUUUACUACUUCAAUCUUCAUUCCAUUGAAACAGAUGUCUGAGUUUGUAAGUGAAUAAAAAUGGUAAGUAAUUUCAAGUUGCACUGAUUUAGGCUUUCAAAUUACUACAUUAGCUACUGAUAAAACACUGCUAAUUGAAAAGAGAAUGUUGUACAUAUAUGUUGUACAUGUUUUUGGGCAAAGUGCAUUCUUAUUAUGUUUACCACCAAAACCAGUCCUCUUCUGAAGUGUGCAAAAUGGUAACCAAAACAGAUUUGGUCUGGGAAUAGUAGAUGUCUUGAACAUUUCAGUUUUAGUGGAUUAGAAAAAGUUCUUUCAUUGUAUAGAGGAAGUCAAAUGUGUAGGUAUAGAACAGGUUUGCGAUGUGUAGCACCUUUUGAUUUGAUCAGAUAGAUGCUUUUUAUUUGAAUGUUGCAACCUAUUAGAAUGAAUUUAUAUUAAAAUUGUUCCUUCAUCAGGUGAUAAACCUCUAUGCAUUUGCUGAAAGUUAUUCGAUAAAAUUUUUCUUCUAAAAAUGGCUUUGACCUAAUAAGAAUGUACUCUGUACAACUGUGCACUUUUGAUUCCUGAUUGAUAUUUGUGCCAAAUAAGGUUAUAUACUUUUGACUCGGUGGAUUUAGUUAUCAGGACUGUAUGUGGAAUAUAUUGUUACUAGCUAAAUUGCAGUUAUAAGAUUCAUUUCAUUGCUUUAAAACAAAAUAUAAUGUGGCCAAAAAUUUAAAUCUCUUAGCCAUAGAAGAUAAGCGAUAUUUAAAUCUGCAGUACAUUUAGUUGUGUACCUAGUGCUGCUAUGUAUUAUCGGAAUUUUAAUUUAUUGGAAGUUUUGAAUAAUCAUUUAUUUGUUCAGACUAAUGUAAUAUUGCAUUCUCAUUUCUCUCCCAUGUCUUUUACAAAGUAACUUUUACCAUUGAAUAUGUAGAUCAAUUUUUGAUUUCCUGACAUUGGAUUUAUCACUCUGUCAGGCAUUUGCCUUGUGUGACAAUGGUUUGGGACCUUGAUGGUCAAUUCCGUGUUACUGAAACUGGAGUGACCUCUUCAGGCAACAAGCCUGAGCAAAUUUUAAGGAGGCCCAGGCUACUCAAAUGUCAGGAUCUCCCCUGACUUCCUUGGUUGGGACCAAAGGAAUUCAGAGAUUACGUUUCACACGUUUUCAGGAAUUGCCAGAAAGCUGAGAGUUAGGCAACAAUCCAGCUUUGGCCCCACUCCAGACUUUUUUCUCAGGGUUUGCUCUCUUAGCCUUUAUUUCUCCCAAGGUAUGCACAAACAUUGGAGCUAUUUGUCCACAGCUGGGUGUUUGGUUCAUAAAUGCAUGGCAUGUCCACACACUGGACUUGCGUGCUGCAUUCUGGGGGCCAAAUAUCCUCCAUAUUCUCUGAAGCUUUAGCCCAAGGCCAGAGGUUUCCUCAGUUCCACUUGUGCCACAUGGACUUGGCAACGGAAAGGCUGUGUACCAACAGGAAUAGAUUAGCACUUUUAGAUUUCCUUUCUGAAUUACUGCGAACCAGUGAAAGUGAGAAGCACAUUAAAAUACAAAAAGCAAGAAAUAAGUUAACUUCUCCAUCUACACACUAAGCACAUCAUGUCAACUUGCUGUACGCACCCAUUAACAUUGAAUCUUUCACAGAAUUGAAAAUACCCACAGCGUAAUAUUUAAUGGCUAUUAAUUACUAACCUGCAACAACAGGUUUAAUAAGUUUCAUAUAAUUUAACUGUACAAAUACAAGGCUAAUUCAUUUUUAUGUUAAGGAUGUCUUUCUUCUAUCCUUUAGCAAAUAGUGAAAGUGGAUUUCUCUAUGCUCUGGCAACAUCUGAGUGAGGGAAAUUUUGUUUUAGUGAGCCAUUAACUCAAAUAUGAUUUUCUUUUGAGUUGGUAGCCAUGCAUGAUUACUGAUGACUUUUGUUACAUGGGUGAAUUCUACAAAUGUCAUAUAUGUUCCAAUUGCAACUACAAAUUUUUUCUGCAUUUUUGAAUUUUUUUUUACAGUAGUUAUUGAAAAUAAUGUCAUUGGAAUUAAUAGUGAAAUUUAAAAAGUAGACCAAAAACUGAAUUGAGUUGCUAUGAUGUGCCACUGAUCAAUUGCAGUUUUUUAAGUCCUUUCAAUUCAGAAGUAACUAACUCUUUAUAUUGCUAGUAGACUGUGGGUAAACAGCCAUAUAGUUAAAAGCUUUAAAAAUUGAGACCUGCAAAACAAGUUUUUGUUCUGUCUCAAAAUAGUCAUUGUGUAUGCCAAAUACUUUUGCCCCCCACAAAUCGUGACAUGUAUAUUUAAUUGAUGCACGCAGCAGAAUUGGCCACUUUUUAUUGGUCUAUGUAAUUGUAAAUACUGGAACCUAUAUGCUACAUUUAUUAUACUGAACUUUUAAAAUAAUAAUUUUACUACUGUGCAUAAAGUUACCAUACUUGUGUAUUUUCUAAAGUAUAUGUUUACAGCUAACAAACCUUAGUAAUGGAAUUUGUUCUGUCAUACACUUUUUAAGACAGAGAAUGAGUCUGGUGGAAAGAUCUUCAAAGGUGCAGUGUAUUAUAGCAAAAUACUUUUAGUACUUAUUUGAAAUUUCUUGAGCUCACUGAUUAAUUCAGGUUUCAAAAAAGAUUAUGCCACAUGUAAAUGUGAACAUCAGAUGAAAAUUUUUAUAUAUUUGCAUUUUGCUCAUUUCAGAUCCAUCCCAGAAAAUGAGUAGUAUUCCAAUAGGCACAUUAGUCUACUAAUCCUCUGAACGUUUAAAUUAGCAUCUAAUUAGAAUUUUGGGGAAAACCUGUCCUGUUAAGUAAAUGAACACUCACUAACUAAAGACAGUUUGUCUGCAUGAGUGUUUGCUUGGCAUUGUUUGGGGAUCAAUACCGGAGAGUUGCAUCAAUGUAUAAUACUGUAUGAAAAUAGAAUUAAUUCUUUUAACAUUGUCAUCUUGCAAAUUUAUGUAAAUCACUUUUCCAAAGUGUGUGCUUUUCACGUGAUUAUCAUUACUGUAGAUGAACAAUGUAUAUGACACUUUUUGCCCAAUAUUGGUUAUACUGUAUCAUCAUCUGCAACUUAAAGCUGUCAUUUUGUAAAUAAACACUUUGAAUUUCUAUGAUCCACAAAAAAAGGGUUAAUGUUGAUAUCCACAUAGCCUAAUUUGUAUGUCAUGCAGUGAUUACAGCAGCAGCUUUCUUAGCAAUUACAAGAUUAAUAUUUGUCCAAUUGUAGUGUAUUUAAACAGGAAUCAAUUGUUCUAUGCUGAGACAUGUUAUAUCUCAUCCUUUAGCUGUGGAUAAAAUCUUCUUUUAACAUUUGAGAAUUAUUGCUGCUUCAAGUUUAAGAUGCAAAGUUAAUUUGGUAAUGAGGGUCUAGUUUGCCAGUCCUACUCUACCCACUUUUUAAAAGCAUAGUUUCUUUUUGAAGGUAGGGUUAGAGUAAUGAAAAUUCUUCUAGCACAGCUGAGUAACACGGUCAGGAUAUUCAACCAAAUCUGAGUGAAUUUUUGACUACUUUAAAUUAAAGUCUGCAAAGAUUUUACACACACUCAUGGAUUGUUCCUGGCCUAUAAUUUAUUUUUCAUACAAAGAAUUUGCAUAAGAAAGCGGUACAUCAUUUUUAUAAUGUAGAUUUUUUUUCCCUCCUGUGCUUUACACAUCCUUUUGGAGUCCACAUUUCUGUUGCAACGUUGUCAUGAACUGUAGGGAGCCCGACCUGCUUUGAGUGUUGUAUCACCUAAGUGUUUGCCCUUUAAAAUAUAAUUGACGUUAAUGUUGUUGAAUAAUGUGAUUAUAUGUUUUUAAUCCAUACAAACCAAAACUUCAAUCAGUGGAGCAUUUAUAUAAUGUUGAAGGGGAGGCAAUAGUCUAGUGGUAUUAUCACUGGACUGUUAAUCCAGAGAUCCAGAUAACAUUCUGGGCACCCGGGUUUGAAUCCUGCCACAGCAGAUAGUAGAAUUUGAAUUCAAUAAAAUAUCUGGAAUUAGGAAUCUAAUGAUGACCGUGAAUCCAUUGUCGAUUGUCAGAAAAACCCACCUGGUUCAAUAAUGUCCUUUAGGGAAGGAAACUGCCAUCCUCACCUGGUCUGGCCUACAUGUGACUCCAGACCCACAGCAAUAUGGUUGACUCUGAACUGCCCUCUGGGCAAUUAGGGAAGGACAAUAAAUGCUGCUUGGCCAGUGACAUCCUCAUCCCAUUAAUGAAUAAAAAAAAAAAGAAAUAAUAUUAGAAAGAAAACAGCGCAUUUGGGCUGGAAAGCAAAAAAAGUUAGAGACAUUUAUUACCUUAACCUCUUUAACCUUCUAUAAUGUUAAUUCAUCUUUCCUGAAUAUAUGCUCAGAGUUCAAUAUGGAUGCAUGAAUUCUGCAUCCACAUUUGUUUGAAAGUUUUCUGAAAAGAAAAUCUACUAUCAACAUUUAGCUGAUAAAAUUGAAUUUGGAAAUCUGUGUUUCUACGGCAUAGUCAGAGGGGUACAGCUCUCUUAUGGAUUUUUUUUUCUUUAUUCAUUUACAGGAUCUGGUUCUCAGCCAUACACUUAUUGAUUCACCCACUAGAAAUCCAAAUUGUAUUUUUCUUGGAAAUUGCACAUUUACAACCAAACCUCAUUUUAAAGCAACGUUUUAAAAAAAAAAAAAAAAAAAAAAAAAAAUUUAAUCUAUGUUGGCAGUAUAACCUAGCCUGUUGGGCUUCACUUAUUCCUCUAAAGAAAAUUCUGUCUUUAAGGAAUUUUUUUCUGUUUGUGCACGCUAGUGGAAAUGAUUAGUAACUGAUCUGCCAGAAUAAUUGUAACAGGAAAAACUGUUGGAUUUUUAAUUGAGGAUGUGCAGUGAUCAGGACAUGUACCCUUAAGGGAGAGAAAAAAAAAUAUGUUUACUUAGCGAAAAUAUCCUCAUCAUUCAUGGGAGAUGAUGGCAAAGUCACACAAGUUAUCUGUAGCAGUAAAUGUUAGAUCACCCUCUUAUGCUGCCAUUUAAUCAAAAUGAUGAUUGGCAAUUUGAACAGCAGUAAUAUAUUUUCACAGUGUAUCUGUGGUUAACGGAUCAGGAUAUACUUUGUAUUAAACCAUGCCAUAGCACUGCUGUAUUGGGGUAUAGAAAUAUUGUAAAAUGUAUACUGCAGCUGUUGAUCAUCAAGCACAAAUUUUUUUGCCAAAUGAAAAGCUGGGCAUUAUAACUUCAGAGCUGGAUUCUGUCUCCAAUCCAGGUAGCAGUAAAAUUGGAUCACGUGAAAAAGCAUUCAUGCUUGGGCUUAAUAUCAAAUAGAGUAUAACUCCAGUGGAAUAUAAGUAAUAUUCAGGGGUCUGCAUGCUCAAUAUUAAAAAUUUAGCAUCUGGAACUUACCUCUGUACAUGAAGAAGCAUGUAGAUGUAGAGUUUGUUUAGUUGUUACGAAUGGUAUUUGAAGCCAGGCUGCUUGAUCAGAACUAUUCUGCAGGUAUAGCUGUACCCUAGAAUGAGGCAAUAUCAAAAAAUAAUUUUCCUAUAUAUAUCAAAUAUGGCCAAAAAUAAAUCAAAUCAUGAAUUCAUAACUUACUGCCUUUGGGGUUAAAAGUCAGAUCAUGUGCAAUAGUGCUGUCAAUUAAUUUUGAGGUAUUAUGUAACUUUACCAGUCUUCAUGUUGUCUUCAAUGUUAGUAAUAUCUGAAAUGUGAAAAAAGCUGGUAUAAUGUAAUCACUGUCUAGUCUUCUCAGACAUCAUCCACAAUUGAAUAAAUAUGUAAGCAUUACUAGAAGUAUUUACUAAAUUACUGGCGAUAAUAAAUUACUUUGUUCCUUUCUAAAGCAUUUAGGACUAUUUGUUUAGGUGCAACAAUUUUGGCACAGCAUUUCUGGAAUUGCACUAAAUACGGUUUGCUCAAUAAUAUCCCUGUAAUGUCUUGUGCUAAUGAUUGGACAUACUCUGUGAUUUAUUGGAAUUGUUGUUCCUCAACAGUAAAUAUGUAUACGUACAAAAAUAUUGUGCAAGUAGUUUUGAAACUUGAUUUCAAAAUUUAUUCAAAGAAAUUUAGUUGCUGCUUUGAAUCACAAAUGUAAUGAAAUGCAAGUUAGUCUGUUGUAGGGUUUGUUUCUUGAAUUCCAAGUGUAUAAGAGCAUGUGCCAUUUUGUUCUGUUCAUCAAAUUAUAUAUUGUGUACUGUACUUCAAAUUUUGCUGAAUAGUUGUAUUUUUGGGAUGUCAAGCUCUUCAUAAAAUUAGCUUCUUUUUGGUAAACCAUUUUAAAAGUGUUUCUGGCAGUUUUUUUUAAAUAGUUUUCUGGACUACUUAAUUCUUUGGGAAUUGGUUCACUUGUGGCACAUAGUAAUUUGUGGUUAAAUCAACUUGUAAGCUAAGAGAUGAAGCUAUUUAGGAAGAUUGCUGUUUGGGAAAGAACGUUACUAACUAAAUUUAUAUAGUGGCAGUAUAUCAUUUAUAAUUUUGUUGAUUGUAUCCAACAUAACACCUCAAAUGAUGGGAAAGCUACUCUGGAAAAGGUUAAAUUCUUGGGUUACGGUUUCUGUUGUUCACUUUAAAAAUCAUUCAUGUUUUUGAAGAGAAAAUAAUAAACUAAAUCAAACCACUGAAUGUAGAUAAAGGCUGCUGUCUUGUUGCCUACAUAUACAUCUCCAUCAAAGGGUCUAAGGGAGAUUUAUUUUGCUUCAGUGUCAUGAUGAGAAAUGUCCACUCAUGGAAAUGAAGUUAGAUAAUAAUCAAAGGGCUUGGGUGUUUUUUUCAGCUUCAUUAUAUAAAGGGAUAAUGAUUUUCAUUUAUUGGGAACUGAGCGAUGUUACAACUUGAAUCUAGACUGGGCUAUGUUCGGAUUUAAUGUGAUCAGAAUAUAUUUUGUACAAUUUUCUCAUGAAUGACGACAAUAAAUAUGGAUUCGCAA
Long non-coding RNA from Rhincodon typus (whale shark), 7308 nucleotides. RefSeq lists it as uncharacterized. The transcript has 2 exons. NCBI's taxonomy places the organism in Eukaryota, Metazoa, Chordata, Chondrichthyes, Orectolobiformes, Rhincodontidae. The record is from RefSeq and is a predicted model, not a curated record.